This is a long non-coding RNA of Manis javanica (Malayan pangolin), 1024 nucleotides long. RefSeq lists it as uncharacterized. The record is from RefSeq and is a predicted model, not a curated record. Lineage: Eukaryota; Metazoa; Chordata; Mammalia; Pholidota; Manidae.
UGGAAGCAUGGAUUAGAUCACUUAGAAGAAUAGCAGUGCAACUAGCUGAAGAGUGUUGCAUUCAACAAACGCAACCACCACCAUUUCUGGUUGCCGGAGACACAAAGCUUGCUGCUUGCUGUAAAUGUCGGGAAGAGGAAACACCCCGGGGCCCCAGUCAUUUUCAUUCUGGAGAAACGACCGAGUUGGCUCCUGAGACGGGCUCAUGCUUCUAGAGCACUGUGGGCUUCGGGAGCCGGUCAUCACUGCAACAACAGUACUGCAGUUUCAGACACCAAGUUCAAUGCUAUUUUUUUCGUUUUCAUUUCAUAGCCUAAGACAGCAAAACAGUGGUGACUAAGAGAGAGAUGGGUUGAAUGGGAACAAAUACAGCUAUGGAUGUUGAGUGAGCAGAGCGCCCUGCAGGAAGCAUGCAGGUGAAACCAGACACGUGUGCCAGAGAUGACAACCGCGUGGGACUGGCUGCUUGCAGCUGGACAGCAGCAGCCAAUAGCAGUGGGACUGGGAGCGUUCGCUUCCUGUAGACCCGGAGGAGAUGCACACAGGCCUUCGCUAUUACCCAGUUGCACCAUGGAACCUGAACGCAAUCAUACAGAAACCACAAAGGAACGAGAGCCAACUUCAUAGACACCAAGAUUAGAAUUUCAUAUAAUUUUUACAUGCCAAGAAAUAGUAUUCUUUUGAUUUGUUUUCCAGUCAUUUACAAAUGUAAACAUCAAUCUUAGUGCUCAGACUGUAGAAAAACAAGUAACUGACCGUAUUUGGCCCUCAGCCAGUUUAUUGACUCUCCAUUUGUAGAGAGAAACCAUCAGAGUUCAUGAUAUAAUUAUUGUAAAAGAUUUUUCUCCCUUUAGAAUGAAAACAGACAAAAAAGUAGCAACAGGCAUAUAGAUAUGUAUUAAAUUAGCAAAGAUACCCUUUAGUAGUCAGGUUCACAAAUUACGGCAGAUCUUCAAAGAAGAGAUUGAUUUUACUUUUGCUAAGGAAACUGGUUCUGUAUAAGCAUGUCAUUCUGCACAAUAAA